Molecule: long non-coding RNA, 1451 nt
Filed under: Anser brachyrhynchus (Pink-footed goose)
Lineage: Eukaryota; Metazoa; Chordata; Aves; Anseriformes; Anatidae
Description: lncRNA (ENSABRG00000008439.1)
Source: RNAcentral
UUUUGGUUCUUUGUUGGUGCUCUCAAUAAUUAAUAAGCACAUCACCCACUGUGGUCUGCACGCAGCCCCUGCACUGUGAUCUGGGACGUGCAGGAGAGGAGCCAGCGCAGCAGCAGGUGCAUGGUCCUGCUGCAAGGGGGCCAGAAGCACUCGGUGAUGCUUAGCCACUUGGUACCAUGGAUUUCAGCUUGGAGGAGCUGGGCCGCUGCUGUGCUUAGGCCAUCAGCCAAGCCCUUCCCCGGGCACCAUGUUUGGAUACCUGCCACCUCUGGAAAAAUGCCUGACACCGCGUGUCCGUGUUCAUCCAGCACAUGCUGAGCAGGAGGGGGUGGUAAGAGGAGGCCACGGGGAGAUGCAGCAGUCAGAGGAAAAAUCAAACAAACCCACAGUCUCCUUUUUGGGAUGCUGCAUAAUGCCACAAUGUGCUGCUCUUUUCCAGCUGCCUUCUUGAUUUCUGCCUCCUCCUCCAUGUUUCUCUUUCAGGAGUUGUUGGUGCUUUUUUUUGUUGUUGUUGGUUUUUUUGUUUUUUCCCAUUGAAUCAGUAAGUUACCAGCAGUUUGUCCUAUUUCACUGCUUCUAGAGACAGAUCCUUAAAAACGUGACCCAGCCAAGACAGGAGGAAUUGAAUGAAGGAUCUCUGAGGGCCUUCAUCAUAAGAGAGAGAGAAGAAAAGAAGGUCCCUGCAGAGGAGGGAGGAAAAAAUCUGCAGUGACUGGGCCAAGUGUCACGUAGACUGAGGUGCAGGGGUUGCUGCUGGCAGCUUCACUCCUGGAAACCUCUGGAACAGCUUCUCCAGAGGAGCAGACACCCACAGCCUCCAGCCUCCAGAAGCACUCAGUACAGCCCUGCAGGAUACAAAGAAAACACCUGCAACGGGGGCUGAAGCACAUGGCCCAUCCUUUAUUUUUCUUUUUAUUUUUUUUUCCCCCUAUGAGUCACUGAGGCUUCACCCUUCAACUCUGGAUGUCUUCAGUCACUGACAGCUCAAAGGGCAGGCCCAAGGAGAGGAGCAGGAGGUGAAGACAGCAAGCCUGAAGCACCCUUCCGGAGCAGCUGGCACACCUAAGGGAAAGAAGUGGAGGAGGUUGGGCUGCUGGUGUUUGCGGUGGCUGUAGGUACACCUACGCACCGGGAGGGACAGCUGGGUCACACUGGGGUGACAGCACAGCUGGCAAGCGUUGGCAUCUAGGAGUUGUCUUGAAGGCCUGCUGGGUCAAGGUUGCGGUCAAGAAUGGGGCCAGAAUAAGAUGGGAUGGGAACGUUUGUAGCCUGAUGGCCUUUUAAGACAAAGGAUCAGCCUCUAGUGCAACUUGGACAUAAAGCAGGCUCUGGCUUGGAGCAGCCAUUCCCUGGAGAGCCUCCUAACUUCCUAUUUGUGUAUAUGUUAGAGAACAUCUCAGCUGGAUGUGAGCAUUCCUGGUGAGGAACACGGACAGCUUCCUGGCCCACAU